AAAAUAAUAAUAAUAAUAAUAAAACACCCUUCAAUCUUUUUUACUUUAAAACUACCUUAUCUAUUUGAUAAUCCAUGCUCUUAAACUCAAAAAUUUGUAGAGAAAUAAAUGAUUUCACUUGAGUUGGUUGUUGAGAAAGUUGAGAGAAAAUGGCUUUAGUUGCCUAGAGAGAGCAUGAAAAGGUGCUAAAAUGAAUGAGCCAAGAUAGUUUUUUGCCCAAAAAAAGUUUCCUCUACUACAUUUCAUAUGAAAGACCAAAAAAAAAAGCUAAGAAUUCUUAGUUGGAAAAGUAAUGGACAUUAUGACCGUUACUUAAUGGUCUAUGACGGCCGUAACUGCCUUUACAGUUACAAAUUUAAAA
RNAcentral lists this unclassified non-coding RNA (361 nucleotides) under Hevea brasiliensis (rubber tree). The record is from RNAcentral. Lineage: Eukaryota; Viridiplantae; Streptophyta; Magnoliopsida; Malpighiales; Euphorbiaceae.